AGAAUGUUGGUGAAGCUCCUGGUUGCACUAUAGGCUUAAAUUUUGGAAGUAAGGUGGAGAUUGUUGAGAAUUCAAACUGCUGAUUUUUAUUUUGACAAGUAUGCUUCCAAAAAUCUUUGGAGAAAAACGUGUUUUCAAAAUGACAACUCUAUUAGUUGUGGCAAUUAACAAGAUUUCGACACCUGGCAUCAUGAUGAUCAUCUGAUCAGAUUCUAGAGACUUCCAAUUAUGAAAUCUUGUGAUUCUCUACUAGGAACGUGAUUUUUCAGAUUGGAGAGAGAGACUUUAUUCUUACAUGUUCAGAUUUGAGAGAUUUUCUCUAGGGUUUGGGGUCGCCUCUUCAUCUCUCUUCUUCUCUAUGGAUGAAAUCCCUCUUCUUCACAUAUUCAAGCCAAUUUUGAGUGAUUCUCAGGUGUAUACUUGAGGGAUGAUGAAGUUCUACUCCAUUUACUUGUGUUAAUACACUGGGUUUUUUGGUAUGGUGUAUGAAUCUGCAAGAUUCAUGUUGGAAGUUAAAAUUUCUAUGAAAUCUUUGUGAUUUUGUGUAUAGUCUCUCAGUAGAAAGUGAUACACUGUGUAUUAGCACUCAUUCGUCUAUGGUUCGAAGAGGGCAGUUUGUUUUUGUGACCUGUGUGAUCCGGGUAUCUUGAUUCCUUAGUGGAGUGAGGCUUGAUUUGUGCUUCAUUUUAAAGAUAAGUCUUGGUGACUUUAUUUCUUGUAAUUGCUGGAACAUUCUUGUAAUUUUUUGUGCCUGAUUUUGGGGCUUUAUAGUGCAACCGAGAUUUAUCCAUUUUAAUAGAUGCUCAACAAGGGAUUAGGCAUUAGAAGUGGUCGCCGAACCUCUAGGGCUUCGGUCGAAAAAAUUCUUGUGUUCAUUUUUAUUUCCUGCACUUUACUUUCAAUUUAUGAUAGUGUUUUUGGAAUCUUGGCUAAUAUUGGUUUCUCUCAACUUUUCAAUGGUAUUAGAGCAACCUGGACUACUGGAGCUUUGUGAUUUCUUGAUUAAACCUGAUUCCUGAAACCUGCAG
This 1028-nucleotide long non-coding RNA is filed under the name Olea europaea subsp. europaea. Lineage: Eukaryota; Viridiplantae; Streptophyta; Magnoliopsida; Lamiales; Oleaceae. The record is from RNAcentral.